UAAUAUAUAUAUAUAUUGAAAUGGGAAAAAUCAAUUAAAGUAUUGAUUAUUUCUUUGUGUAUCUGCCCCUGGCCAAAUCAAUGAAACAGUGCGUGCACGCUCCCUGAAGUAAUUCACACCAGACACAGGUUCCAGGUUGUUGAAUAACUUGAGGAAAGUUUAUUCAGAGGGGACGGCAAGUCCCUUUUAAAGCAAAAUUACAUCAUAUGCAUUGUCAGAGAUAACAUGGAAUAAUACAUCAAUAAUUGGUUAGGUGUUAAGUGCUUGCUCUAAUGCUCU
Non-coding RNA from Pelobates cultripes (western spadefoot toad), 279 nucleotides. The record is from the annotation of a GenBank genome assembly. NCBI's taxonomy places the organism in Eukaryota, Metazoa, Chordata, Amphibia, Anura, Pelobatidae.